This 1077-nucleotide ribosomal RNA is filed under the name Triticum aestivum (bread wheat). Its description in RNAcentral is "partial small subunit ribosomal RNA". The record is from RNAcentral. Lineage: Eukaryota; Viridiplantae; Streptophyta; Magnoliopsida; Poales; Poaceae.
AUGAUCAUACAAAAAAUUUAUGCCGGUUUGAACUUUGCUUCUAGAAAUCUUUUAGAUUCGGCCGCGGGAGGCACGUUUAUGGAAAUCACGUUAGGAUAUGCUACAAAACUUCUUGAUAAUAUUAUGGCUAAUUAUUCUCAAUGGCAUACCGAAAGAUCUUCUAGUAAAAAAGUGCAUGCUAUAGAAGAAAUCAAUGUUUUGAGUGGAAAGAUGGAUGAACUUAUGAAGAUGUUUGCUACUAAAAAUACUCCUCUUGAUCCCAAUGAUAUGCCUUUGUCUACUUUGAUUGAGAAUAAUAAUGAAUCUAUGGAUGUGAAUUUUGUUGGUAGGAAUAGUUUUGGAAAUAAUGCUUAUAGAGGAAACUUUAAUUCUAGACCGUUCCCUAGUAAUUCCUCUAAUAAUUAUGGAAAUUCCUACAAUAAUUCUUAUGGUAAUUUCAAUAAGAUGCCCUUUGAUUUUGAGAAUAGUGUGAAAGAGUUUAUGAUUUCUCAAAAGAAUUUUAAUGCUUUGCUUGAAGAAAAAUUGAUUAAAGUUGAUGAUUUGGCUAGGAACAUUGAUAGACUUUCGCUUGAUGUUGAUUCUCUUAAACUUAGAUCUUAUCCUCCUAAGCAUGAUAUCAAUGAGUCUCUCAAAGCCAUGGGAAUUUCCGUUGAUGAGUGCAAGGAAAGAACCGCUAGAUUGUGUGCUAAGAAAGAUUGCUUUGUAAAGGCGUGUUCUUCCAGUUUCAAUGAAAAUAAUGAUGAAGAUCUUAAAGUUAUUAAUGUGUCUCCUAUUAGAUCUUUGUUUUGCAAUAUGAAUCUUGAUAAUAAUGGGACUGGAGAUGAGUCAACUUUAUUUAGAAGGUGUCCCAAGAAUUCGGAGUUUUUAGAUCUUGAUGCUAAAUUUGGUAAAAGUGGGAUUGGGGAGGUCAUGACUUUAAAUAGCAUUGAACCCACUAUCUUGGAUUUCAAGGAAUUUGAUUAUGAUAAUUGUUCUUUAGAAGGUUGUAUUUCCUUGCUGCAAUCCGUCAUUAAUUCUCCUCAUGCUUAUAGUCAAAAUAAAGCUUUUACCAAACAUAUCAUUGAUGCCUUGAUGUAA